Molecule: ribosomal RNA, 860 nt
Filed under: bacterium
Lineage: Bacteria
Description: bacterial SSU rRNA
Rfam family: Bacterial small subunit ribosomal RNA
Source: RNAcentral
CCUGCCCCUGACUCUGGGAUAAGCGCUGGAAACGGCGUCUAAUACUGGAUACGAGUAGCGACCGCAUGGUCAGUUACUGGAAAGAUUUAUUGGUUGGGGAUGGGCUCGCGGCCUAUCAGCUUGUUGGUGAGGUAAUGGCUCACCAAGGCGUCGACGGGUAGCCGGCCUGAGAGGGUGACCGGCCACACUGGGACUGAGACACGGCCCAGACUCCUACGGGAGGCAGCAGUGGGGAAUAUUGCACAAUGGGCGCAAGCCUGAUGCAGCAACGCCGCGUGAGGGAUGACGGCCUUCGGGUUGUAAACCUCUUUUAGCAGGGAAGAAGCGAAAGUGACGGUACCUGCAGAAAAAGCGCCGGCUAACUACGUGCCAGCAGCCGCGGUAAUACGUAGGGCGCAAGCGUUAUCCGGAAUUAUUGGGCGUAAAGAGCUCGUAGGCGGUUUGUCGCGUCUGCUGUGAAAUCCGGAGGCUCAACCUCCGGCCUGCAGUGGGUACGGGCAGACUAGAGUGCGGUAGGGGAGAUUGGAAUUCCUGGUGUAGCGGUGGAAUGCGCAGAUAUCAGGAGGAACACCGAUGGCGAAGGCAGAUCUCUGGGCCGUAACUGACGCUGAGGAGCGAAAGGGUGGGGAGCAAACAGGCUUAGAUACCCUGGUAGUCCACCCCGUAAACGUUGGGAACUAGUUGUGGGGUCCAUUCCACGGAUUCCGUGACGCAGCUAACGCAUUAAGUUCCCCGCCUGGGGAGUACGGCCGCAAGGCUAAAACUCAAAGGAAUUGACGGGGACCCGCACAAGCGGCGGAGCAUGCGGAUUAAUUCGAUGCAACGCGAAGAACCUUACCAAGGCUUGACAUAUACGAGAA